This 253-nucleotide ribosomal RNA is filed under the name uncultured bacterium. Its description in RNAcentral is "partial 16S ribosomal RNA". It matches the Rfam family "Bacterial small subunit ribosomal RNA", at positions 524 to 776 of the family's 1533-position model. The record is from RNAcentral.
UACGUAGGGGGCUAGCGUUGUCCGGAUUUAUUGGGCGUAAAGAGCGUGUAGGCGGUCAGGUAGGUCUGCUGUGAAAACUCGAGGCUCAACCUCGAGAUGUCGGCGGAAACCAUCUGGCUAGAGUCCGGAAGAGGAGAGUGGAAUUCCUGGUGUAGCGGUGAAAUGCGCAGAUAUCAGGAAGAACACCCGUGGCGAAGGCGGCUCUCUGGGACGGUACUGACGCUGAGACGCGAAAGCGUGGGGAGCGAACAGG